AAGGAGGGCAUCAUUGCACCAAGAUAUGUUAGCUUAACAACUCAAGUGGCUGACACAUUCAUUAAACCACCCACCUCUCCAGCUUUUCAGAAUCUUCAUUCCAAGUUGGCUUUGUAGAUGUCCACCAAAGUCCAACUUGAGGGGGGGAUAUUGGUUAGUUAGUUAGUUAGCAGUUAGUUAAUUACUAGUUAAUAGUUGUUACAGUUAAUAAAUGCACAUGUACUUAUAUAAAUACAGAAUUACAUUUUGUAUCAAGAUGAUUUUUCAAUGAAUGAAACGAUAAAGAAUUUUUCUUGCCUACCACUUUCAUCUUCUGUACUUUGAAUUCUGUUAUGAAUUCGUUCAUGUUCACACAUUUAAAGAAUUUUUUCCAUAUAACAAUUCUUCUACUACACCCACGAUAUCAACUUUAAGCACUUCCCAGUUACAUCUUAUGAAAUGUUAAAGUCAUUCCAAUGUGAGGCUUUAUUUAUAUCCCCAUUAAACAUAACAAUUCUAACCCCUUCAUCUGAAAAUUAUCUUUCUAACCAUACUUACUGAUCCUCUUUAAACUUUUUAAACAUAAUUUCUUGUAUAUACACUCUUGAUAUAUCAACACUUUUAAAAUGUUCCCUACAAAAAUUUCUAAAAUGC
Molecule: long non-coding RNA, 633 nt
Filed under: Carica papaya (papaya)
Lineage: Eukaryota; Viridiplantae; Streptophyta; Magnoliopsida; Brassicales; Caricaceae
Description: long non-coding RNA (CPAP_LNC008807)
Source: RNAcentral